This 593-nucleotide long non-coding RNA is filed under the name Physcomitrium patens. RNAcentral's name for it is "long non-coding RNA (PPAT_LNC003310)". Lineage: Eukaryota; Viridiplantae; Streptophyta; Bryopsida; Funariales; Funariaceae. The record is from RNAcentral.
AACUCUAAACCCUAAAACAAACUCUAGAUCAAACCUUAGAUCCUAAAUCAAAUCCUAAAUCAAAUCCUAUACAAAUCUUAAAUCCUAAAUCAAAUCCUAAAUCGAAUCCUAGAUCCUAAAUUAAUUCCUAGAUCAAAUCCUAAAUCCUAAAUCAAAUCCUAAAUCAAAUCCUAAAAAAAUUCUAAAAUCUAAACUAAAUCCUAAAUCAAAUCCUAGAUAAAUCCUAAACCCUAAAUCAAACCUUAGGUUAAAUUAUAGAUUCUAAAUCAAAUCCUAAAAAAAUUCUAAAAUCUAAACUAAAUCCUAAAUCAAAUCCUAGAUAAAUCCUAAAUCCUAAAUCAAACCUUGGGUUAAAUUAUAGAUUCUAAAUCAAAUCCUAAAUCAAAUCUUAGACAUAUUCUAGAUCCUAAAUCAAAUCCUAAAUCAAAUUCUAGACAAAUCCUAAAUCCUAAAUCAAAACCUAGACAAAUCCUAAAACCUAAAUCAAACCUUAGAUCAAAUUUUAGAUCCUAAACCAAAUCCUAAUCCUACUAUAUCAAAUCCUAGUGCAGUUAAAAACCUCAAUAUCUAUCAAUUGAACUAUUGAUCUUGCU